This 449-nucleotide ribosomal RNA is filed under the name uncultured bacterium. RNAcentral describes it as "partial 16S ribosomal RNA". It matches the Rfam family "Bacterial small subunit ribosomal RNA", at positions 29 to 523 of the family's 1533-position model. The record is from RNAcentral.
AACGAACGCUGGCGGCAUGCCUAAUACAUGCAAGUCGAACGAUCACUUCGGUGGUAGUGGCGCACGGGUGCGUAACGCGUGGGAAUCUGCCCUUGGGUUCGGAAUAACGUCGGGAAACUGACGCUAAUACAGGAUGAUGACGUAAGUCCAAAGAUUUAUCGCCCAGGGAUGAGCCCGCGUAGGAUUAGCGAGUUGGUGGGGUAAAGGCCUACCAAGGCGACGAUCCUUAGCUGGUCUGAGGGGAUGAUCAGCCACAGUGGGACUGAGACACGGCCCAGAAUCCUACGGGAGGCAGCAGUAGGGAAUAGUGGACAGUUGGGGCAACCCUGAGCCAGCAAUGCCGCGUGAGUGAUGAAGGCCUUAGGGUUGUAAAGCUCUUUUACCAGGGAUGAUAAUGACAGUACCAGGAGAAUAAGCCCCGGCUAACUCCGUGCCAGCAGCCGCGGUAA